Molecule: ribosomal RNA, 457 nt
Filed under: Acinetobacter sp. LE/72
Lineage: Bacteria; Pseudomonadati; Pseudomonadota; Gammaproteobacteria; Moraxellales; Moraxellaceae
Description: bacterial SSU rRNA
Rfam family: Bacterial small subunit ribosomal RNA
Source: RNAcentral
GAUUCUGGCUCAGAUUGAACGCUGGCGGCAGGCUUAACACAUGCAAGUCGAGCGGGGAAGGGGAGCUCGCUCUUUGACCUAGCGGCGGACGGGUGAGUAAUGCUUAGGAAUCUGCCUAUUAGUGGGGGACAACAUUCCGAAAGGAAUGCUAAUACCGCAUACGCCCUACGGGGGAAAGCAGGGGAUCUUCGGACCUUGCGCUAAUAGAUGAGCCUAAGUCGGAUUAGCUAGUUGGUGGGGUAAAGGCCUACCAAGGCGACGAUCUGUAGCGGGUCUGAGAGGAUGAUCCGCCACACUGGGACUGAGACACGGCCCAGACUCCUACGGGAGGCAGCAGUGGGGAAUAUUGGACAAUGGGCGGAAGCCUGAUCCAGCCAUGCCGCGUGUGUGAAGAAGGCCUUUUGGUUGUAAAGCACUUUAAGCGAGGAGGAGGCUCCUUAAGUUAAUCCUAAGAGAG